Molecule: long non-coding RNA, 35127 nt
Filed under: Brassica napus (rape)
Lineage: Eukaryota; Viridiplantae; Streptophyta; Magnoliopsida; Brassicales; Brassicaceae
Description: long non-coding RNA (BNAP_LNC006433)
Source: RNAcentral
UUCAGGGUUACUAGGCGGUGUGGGAAGCCGAGUAGCUAUCUCAGACGGUUUGAGGAACGAUCCAGAUCCAUUGACGUCAUCACGAGCAGCUAAGUAGAGAGCGUCGAUGACACCGAGCUCAAUGGCGGCUUUGAAAACCAUGGGGAAGGUAAUGUAAUUGGCUAGCCUCACUGCCCUCAAACCAAGCUCGGUCUCAUCAUCUCCAUUAAUCUCAUUCAUGGUUUUAGGGUCUAAAAGGUGUCCCAUUAUUGAUUUUGCUUUCUCCUCGGUGAAGCUAAUGUUCUAAGAUGAAAAGAAAGAGAAGAGAAUAUGUUUUCUCUUCAUGCAUCUUUGUGCUUCCUUUUAUAGGCGAAUAAUUGAUUAAACCUCAUCAUCGAUGUCUAUGAUAAUUUAAUUGUAAUUAUUUUGAUGUAAAACUAACAUAAAAUAUAAAAGAGAAGGGGAUGAUCUUCUUAUGCAUAAAAAAAAAUUAAGCAUUAUUUAUCUUGUUUUGUUUGCUUGACGGUCCACUAUGGAUGGCCGAAGAGUAGUUAUUUUGAAUAUUAGCCUAAAAUAGUUGGCAAUCACAUCACUGAGGACUGGGGGGACGCAGGUGAAGUUCACGUGUGGCAUGUGGUCCGCACUAUUUUUUUGUUUAUCUUCAAUAAUUAAUACUAUGUAAAUACCUUUAAUUUAAAUGGUCUUUUUAAAAAUGAAUGUAGUAAAAUGUUCUGUUUGUCAUCAAGGUUUCAUGUUGUCUUUAAGUUGCCCUAAUUAUGUAUGUUUUUUUUUUUGGUAGGAUCCCUAAUUAUGUAUGUUAGUUCAAGCUGAAAAAUGUAUGAGUCUCUGUUCUUGUAUAAUUAUAAAAAAGUUUCUUCUGUUCUCUGUUUCAUGUUAUGUGUUGUAUGUCUUUAUGUUUCACGUUUUAAUAAUUGUGUGUGAUGUGUUUCUGUUUCUUUGUGCAGAGAAAUGAAGAGAGUGUCUGUUUGUGUCACAAGUGGACACAAGAUGCACGUUCAGUCACAAGAGCAUGCAGAGAUAUGAAGAGAAGUUUGUUUGUUUGUGUCACGAGCUGUGUAUGUGGGCUUCUCAAAGUCACGAGUGUGUCUUAUUAUGUAAAUAUUAUCUUUGCUUUUUCUAGGUUGUUGUUUUCCUAUAGUCACGAGUGUAAUAUGUUAUGUCUUUUGUUAUAUAAAAGGUUCAUUCACGAAGCAUUUGAAUCAGAAAUUCCUCUUCUCUUCUUCUCACCAACUACAAAAGAAUAAAUCGUUGCUUCUUCUCCUUCUCUCCCAAAGUUUCAUUCUUUACUAAGUUUUUUUCUCCGAAAGUCUCUCCUUGAAACUAUUUUUUUUUAAAAAACUUUCCAUCUCUUCAUCACAAAUAUGGCUUCUUCAUCACAUAACACUUUUGAGGGAGAGGGAGUUGAUGAUGAAACGUUUGAUCAAUAUUUCGAUCAAACGUUUGAAAAUUUAUCCAUUGAGUGUGAUCGAGAAGUCGGAAGAAAAAAAAGAAAAAAACGAGUCCAUAUCGAACGGAAUCGUGAAGAAGGCGAUGCACGUUUAUGGAAAAAUUAUUUCAGUGAAACUCCGACAUAUCCUGAAAAUCUCUUCCGACGACGAUUUAGAAUGAACAGGUCAUUGUUCAUGCGUAUUGUUCAUGGACUCUCCAAUGAAGUUGAAUACUUUCGAAAAAAGAAGAUGCUCUCGGAAGGCUUAGUCUCUCUGCACUUCAAAAGUGUACAGCCGCCAUUCGUGUUUUGGCCUAUGGUUCUGCGGCUGAUGUUGUUGACGAAUACCUCCGCCUUGGUGAAACUACCGCUCGAGCAUGUGUGGAACAUUUUGUAGAAGGAGUAAUAAAUUUAUUCGACGAUGAGUAUCUAAGAAGACCAACACCGGCUGAUCUUCAACGUCUACUUUAUAUUGGUGAGCAACGUGGAUUUCCCGGGAUGAUAGGAAGCAUCAAUUGUAUGCAUUGGGAGUGAAAGAAUUGUCCCACCGCUUGGAAAGGAUAAUAUUCACGUGGUUCGGGGAAACCCACAAUCUUUUUAGAGGCGGUCGCUUCGUAUGAUCUUUGGAUAUGGCAUGCGUUUUUUGGACCUCCAGGUACCUUAAAUGAUAUCAAUGUUCUUGAUCGCUCACCUGUUUUUGAUGACAUUAUAUAAGGUCAAGCUCCGCAAGUUACUUACUCUGUCAAUGGAAGAGAGUAUCAUAUGGCUUACUAUCUCACCGAUAGUAUUUAUCCGAAAUGGACAAUUUUUAUCCAAUCUAUUUCAAUACCACAAGGUCUGAAAGCGACUUUAUUUGCUCAAUAUCAAGAAGCUGUCCGAAAAGAUGUCGAGCGUGCUUUUGGAGUAUUGCAAGCUCGUUUGGCCAUUGUUAAAAAUCCAGCACUUUUUUGGGAUAAAGACAAAAUUUGGAGGAUUAUGGGAGCAUGUAUCAUACUCCAUAAUAUGAUAGUAGAAGACGAACGAGAUGGAUACAGUCAUUUUAAUGUUUCAGAGUUCCAACCAGAACAAGACACCGGAACUUCACAGGUCGAUCUCACGUAUUCUACAGAUAUACCUUCAAAUAUCACUAAUAUGAUGGGUGUUCGAACUAGAAUUCGUGAUAGACAAAUGCAUCAACAGCUCAAAGCUGAUUUGGUUGAACAUUUGUGGAGUAAAUUUGGACGUGAUGAAGACAAGAACUGAGUUUGAAAAGUUUCUUUCAAAAUAUUCUCGAUUAUUGUACUAGCCUUUAUUUUUAUUUUUUCUUUUUUAAAUCUAUGUUUUAAAUGUUAUCUUUUAAUAUGUUUUUUAAUAAAUAAAUUUUAUCUUUAAAAAAAAAAAUUAGAAACCUUAAUUAAAAAACUCCCAUUGGACCGCUAAAAAUGAUAGUUUCUUAACAACAAUCCUUAACCCCACUUAAGUAGAGUUAAAAUAUUAAAUAAUCACUAAAAACCCCCUUAAGGAUCGAGGGAUAAUUAUGCUCUUAGAGUUUGAACAGUGUUACGUUAAUUUUUUUUUUAAUAUUUCUUUUGUUUUAGUGAAUGGUAGACUUGUAAAUAAGUCUUCUUCUUCCUCGGUUUCGUGAAACAGAAAAAAAUAGACGAUGCAGGAACAAGAUUCAACUUUAUUUUGUUUAGAACGAGAUCUCAAUCCCCUUUGGAUUUUGUCUCCACCUCUCACUUUUUCUCUUGAUUUCGUGACAAAUGCUUUCGAUUAGGAUUCAGACCAAAGGAUCUUGGGCUUAAUUGCGUAAAACGUUUUGGAUCUAGGCGCCCGCGUUUCACAAAUACACUGGAUACGCGGAAACAAUUCGCCUUACCGCACAGAGCACCCGAUCAGACCCUUUUCGCCACGGCCAUGCUCCGCUCACCGUAUACGCGUCCUAGUAAUCGUCAACUCGCCCGUGUUUUCGAACACGGCUUUUAACUACUCGAGUGACGUGUUUAUUUUUUUUAAUGUCUUUUUUUUUCCAACGAGGGCUUUAAUUGAGUUCUUACAACUGAAUUCGGACGAAUAGCGAUCAUCAAAUAAUGGAAAAAUGAUUGCUCACUACAUGAAGUAUUGGCCAUCACAUAGCUAACCUUGUAAACUAAACUAAUAUAUACUUAGUCACACGAAGUAUAUCUUAUGCAUGACAACAUAAACUGAUGCGGAUGUUAGAGAUCGUUUAAAUAUAUUUUUUCAACAACUAAAGUAUGAUCGACCUGACUAUAAUUUAAUCACACUUAGAUUUUGACCCACAUUUUCAAAACGUAAGAAUAUUUUUAACAAAAUCUAAUUUACAAAAUCAAUAUUUUUUAUAAGUAGUAUUUUAACAUUUUUAUUUUAGUGUAUUUAAAAACUAUAUAAUUGUAUUAUUUUUAGUUUCAUUAAUCUGUUUUGUUAUGAACUUUUAAUAAGUAAUGUUUUAACAUUUUUAUUUUUGUGUUUUAACCUUUUUUAUUUUAGUGUAUUUUAAAACUAUAUAAUUAUAUUAUUUUUAUAUUUAUUAAUCUGUUUUGUUUUUUAAUUAUAUUAAUCUAUUUGUUAUGAACUUUUAAUAAAAAAAAAUGUAAUUCGUUUGAUUAAUUGUGUGAUAUAUACUUCUUUGAUAAUUUUUUAAUUAUGAAACUUAUUUUCUGUCAAUUUAUUAACUUUAACAUUUUAUUUGCUUAAAACUUAUGUGAUGUCAACUUAAACCAAACAUAAUCUUGCGUAUAUAAUUAGAAAUUAUAUACUUUUAAGAAUAAAAAUAAUCAAAGAAUAGGAAUCUAAUGUGAAAGUUUUACUAAGUUUAAAUGAAUUGAAUUUUUGUUUAUGAAAAAAUAUAUAAAAUAAUUCAUUAACUUAAUAAUUUCAUAUUAAACAAAUAUAAUAUUAAAGUCAAUAAAUUGACAUCAAAGAAGUUUUAUAAUAAUUUGUUUUUAUCAAAUAAGUAUAUAUCACACAGUUAAUCAAACGAAUUAAAUAAAUUUUAUUAAAAGUUCAUGCCAAAACAGAUUAAAAGAAUUAAAAACUAUUUUAAAUAAUAUCUUAUAUUUUUUAUAUUUAAUAAAAAUAAAAAUAAUACAAUAAUAUUUUUUUCAAAUACACUAAAUAAAAAAUUUACGCUUUUAGAUUUUGUUAAAAAAUAUUUUUACGCUUUUAAAACACGGAUCAAAAUCUAAUUUAGGUAAAUUACCGUCAGGUAUGUAACAUUUCAAUUGAUGAAACGAGAUAUUGAAACGGUCUCCGACACAUAAUUUUUUGGAUGAAUGAAAUUAAACUCGUGAUGUUAACUAUAUAACAUCGUAAAGUUGAGAGAUCUUGUCGUGCAUAAUAUAUACUUCAUGUACCUAAGUAUACAUUUGUUUAGUUUCUCAUUUCCCAUUUUUGUAUCUUUAUAGGUUUGUAUUACUUUAUCACCAAUGUUCUUGGGUAUAAUUUGAUUUUGUAUAUUCUCGUCUUUUAAUCUGGUUGAGAUCGUCUCUUUUUCUAACUAACAUCUAGAGCUGUAGAAGUUUCUGUAGGAACCUUAUUUUACUACCAUAAGACAACUGAUAUUUGUAAAUAAUAAUAAGAAAAUAAAUUAAAAUUACAAUAUCGAAAUACAAGAAUAAAGAAGAAUUGCAGAAUCGAGAUGAUUAAUCUCUUUCCUUAAAUCUUUAAAUGCCCUGUAGUGUGACGGUUUCAUAGCGCUCAGAUUCCCACGAUACAACUGCAGCAUUGUUUAUGUUUACCGUCAUUGAAAAUCAGAAUCUAUCGAACCUAAUUUUGUGUUGCACUCUUUGACACAAAAAAAUUAAAAAGAAAAAAAAAAUGACUUUUCAAUAUGGGAGAACAUUUUGUGUUGUGUUGAUCUUCUCCGUCCCAAAUGCUUGGAAGCAUUUAUAUAGGAAGAGGGAAAAUGAGGACACCAUUCAUACGUUUAAUACAAAACUUUAUGUUAUGAUUUCAUUCUUUCAAAACCACAACAAAACGUAAGAUGUGUAAUUAUGGGGAAUUUAAGUUACAUAUCAUAAUGAAAAUUUAUUUCCAUUGCGUGCUUGGACGAGAGUAGUACUAGGAUGGAUGACCUCCCGGAAAGUCCUCGUGUUGCACCCCUUUAAAAAAAAAAAAUUAUUUCCAUUGACUACGACUAUGUAACUUUCAAGCAAAAGAACAUUAUUACUAAUUUUGAUAAAAUCAAAGUUAAUAAUAUAUUUUGCAAUGGGUUCACAUUUUUAUAUUUAAACAAAUAUAAAAGAUAACCAUGAAUAUGAAUUAACCUUAUCAGACAUAAUAUCUAAUAAAUUUAAAUCCAAAUUCAAACCCAAAUAUCCAAAGUGAUAUAUUUGCUAAUUUUAUACUUAGCCAAAUUUAAGACUUUACAAGCUUUGUAAGACAUUCACUUUGGACCUCCAUUUCUCAUUCAAAACCAACUCUGAUUUUGACAUGUGGUUACACUAUUUCAAAGUGUCCACGGUUAUUCCGACGAACGUCUUCGCCCGAAAACUUUACCGAAAAUGGUCUUAAACCAUCUCGUUGAAAACGAGUUCCAACAAUUUCAACACAUGUUUUCUUAUCAUGAUUAUUAUUACAUCUAUUGAAAGAACACCUAAACAAGUUCCAUAGCGUUAUGCUUUUACCCUGAUUCAGAAGAUCAAAAGUAUAUCAUUUAUACAGUGCAAUGAUCUAUUAUAUUGUUUGAUGUGUCUCAUUACGGAUAGAUCUUCCACCUCUAUAUCCCAUAGACAUUAAAGCAAGUUCUUUAUGCAUGUUUGGAAUGCUUAACCUACAUAGUGUGGACCCGAAAAUCUCAGACCAGUUUACUGAAAUACCAAGCAGUGAAAUAUCAAAUCAUUAAUUUGUUCUGAGGGGCCUUCGGACCCGAUACGAUCCCGGCUUCGAUUCCGAUUGACCACUGGAGAAUUAACAUUUUGACAUCGCAAACAUGAGACUGACACGUGGACCGAUAACGUAAGCUGCAAACAUGUGGCUACUCCGGACCCACCUUUAAGGUGGAGGCCCUGAUACUUCCGUAUAAUAGAAAAACGAAUAUAUAUAUCAAACCGUUAAUUUGUUCAUGAACACCAACUCAAUAUCAACCUUUCGACAAUGAAUUGGGAUGCAUCGAAUUUGUCAGAAUAGAGUAAAUAUAUAAACACAUACAUCCAAAAAAUUUAUUAAUUUCACCAAUUCUGAAAUUCACAUGCUUUGAUGCUGAUAUGAAAGAAUUUUUCUCUCUGGCUAUUGCAACGAUCUACAAAGGUAGGGUGGUCGUUCGGGUACCCGUUCGGGCUCGGGUCGGGUAUUUCGGAUUUUCGGGUAUAGAGGUAUAGAACCCGUACGGGUAUUUCUGUACUUUGGGUCGGGUUCGAGUAUUUUUAGUUCGGGUUCGGUUAUUUCGGAUCGGGUUCGGAUAUUUAGAUUUUGAAAUUUUUUUAAAAAAUUUUCAUUUCUCAAAUUUCUUGUAUUAAAAAAUAUAACUUUCACUUAACUAAUUUUUUUAUUUUGAUAGAUUGAAUGGUUAAUAGAUUUGAACAUAAAAUUUUGAAACUAAAAAAAACAUUAAUUUGGUUAUUGUUUUUAAAUUUUGGAUGUAACUUUUUGUUAAUUAUUGAAAUAAAAAGUUUGACAUGCAUUUUAAGUGAGUAGCAAAUCAUUUUCUUGGUAAUUCUAUGUAUAUCAUAUGAACUUAAAGUAUGUAUAGUAUCAAUAUAAAUAUUUUAUAUAAAAUGAGAGAUGUAAACUAGAAAUAUAUGGUUAAUUAUACAUAUGUUCAGUUAUCUUCGGAUACCCGUUCGGGUUUGGAUAUCCAAUCUCUCCUAAUUCAAUACCCCUUCGGAUAUUUUGCUACUUCGGUUCAGAUUUCGGUUCAGGUUUUUCGGAUCAGGUUCGGGUGUGGCUUCAGAUAUCGGGUAAAGUGCUCACCCCUAUACGAAGGUAUACAUGAAACCAUGACAUUGUAUCAUAUAUCAAAUAUAUAUUAUUUUAAUAUUAAACAAUAAUAAUAAUACUAUAUCUGGAUAUAAGUUUCUUAUCACUUUUGAAAAACUGUAGUUUUCAAAACUUUAAAUAUAGGUAUACACUAGAAUGUGACCCACAUUUUUAAAACGCGGAUAUUUUUCUUUUGCAAGUCUCAUAUAAAUGUGUCAAAUAUUUGAACUUUCAUGUUUCAUGUAAAUAAAAUGAAUUUAAUUAGCAAGCUAUUAUGUCAUUAUAUUUAUAACAAUAUCAACCUGAAUACUUAUCAUAUAUUCUCUAUAUAUGUUUUAAACUUACAGAUAUUUAUCGUAUCUAUACUAUUAAAAGAUGAUCAUUCUAAAAAAUCUACUUAAACAAAGUUGUUGCAUCCUUUCACUAGCUAAUAAUAUUUUGAUCUUACCGUAAAUUUCGACUAACAAUAAGUUAUCUUAUACUUUUCUAACAAUCAUUUGGUCAAUACUUUUAUUUAUUAGGCCACAUUUUUUAAACGGUUACUAAAAUCCCUUCAAAGUGUCGGAACUUUUAUUUCACCCUUUUCAUUUGCUAAACGGUUAUGUAAAAUAUUAAAUUGAUACAAAUAUUCCAUCUACGAGAACAAGGUAUCAUACACUAUAUUUAAAAAUAUUUUGAAAAAAAAACCAUACUCAUAUAUAUAUUAGUACGCUGAUAUGUUCAAAAUUCCAAAUCUAUACUAGUAAAAAAGAAUCAUUUUCAAAAAUCUAUAUAAACAAAGUUGUUGCACAAUUUCAUUAACUAAUAAAGCUUUGAACUUACCUUAUAUUUCUCUAACAAUCAUUUAGCCAAUACUUUUAUUUAUUAGGCCACAUUUUUUAAACGGUUACGUAAAAUUCCUUCAAAGGGUCGGAACUUAUAUUUCACCCUUUUUUAUUUGCUUAACGGUUACGUAAAUAUUAAGAUUGCUAAAGAUAUUCCAUAUACGAGAACAAGGUGUCGUACACUAUCUUUAAAAAUAUUAAACAAACCCCACACACUCAUAUAUUAGUAUGCUGAUAUGUUCAAAAUUCUAAAAACUCAAUAUUUUGGUCUAUGUAAACACUACUCCCUCUGUUUUUAAAAUAUGCAUAUUCUAGACUUUUCACUUAUCUUAAGAAAACUCAUUAAAUAUGCAUUGUUUUUUGUGAAUAACAAUUUUUCAUAACUUUUACCAAAUAGAAAUUCAAUAAACACCAUUAAUUUUUUUGAAACUUACAAUUUUUCAUAAAAUCAUACAUUGAAAAAGUAAAAAAUGUAUCUUUUUGAAACAAUUUUUUUCCAGAACAUACAUCUUUUUGAGAAGAGAGGGAGUAUGAUACUAGAUGAUAAUCCGCGCACAUGCGAAGAGAAAGUUUAUACUAAUUUGUGUUCAUUAAAAGGUUUUAACAUUUUGCAACUUUACAAUCUUUAUCGAUUGUAAAAUGACGAAUACAAAUGUUGGUCUCUUAAAUGUAUUAUCGUUGUUGAAGAGUUAAUGUAUUACAUCUCAUUUUAAUUAUUUUUAAUACUUCAUAUGCAUAAAAACCAGAUAGGCAACAUCAAUUAUAAAAUGAUAAAAAAGAUUAGGUUUUCUGCCCUCGAUUUGCUUACUAUUGACUCUUCAUAAGUGAUUUUAUUUUCUACCUCUAUAAAAUUGUGUUUUUUUCUCGUUUCUGUUUCAAUGAUAUGAGUUUUGUUUUUUUUCUUUUUAAACUUUUUUCUGUGAAUUCGGUGAAUUACAUAAGUGUCAAUUUAAAAAGAUGGACAUCCAUAAAAAUUAGUUUCACUCCAGAUACAUAUCUAAGAAUCAAAUUUUUGAAGAAAAUCACCGGCAAACUCAAUUCAAAAAUUAGUAUUCAUAUCUAAUAUAUCAAGUUGUUAUAGAAUAUAAGUGCAUAUUCAAAAUAUAAAUGCAUGUCUAGUAUAUUCACCAGUUCGGUCUAAAAAUCAUCGAAUUUUAGAACGACAAAACAAAUUACUUAUUUUAUUAACCUACGCUAUUGAGUUUUAGUUACUUAAAAGUAUACUGAUAAAAAUAUAUAUAAUACUUUAUCAUUCUAGUGUAUGUAACAUAUGUAUAAACUAAGAACUGUUUGAUUUAUUAGAUUUAUUACAGAUAAACUAGAAAACAUAAUAAAUAGUUCAAAUCUCUUAUUCUUACAAUUAUAAUAGCUUGAUAAAGUAUUAGGGAGAAACAAUUAUUAGACGAAUGAUCAAAUCUCUCAUUUUUUUGAACAAACUCAAAGGGAGUCUUGUCAUAAUAUUUCAUUAAAGCUUUUUAGGAAUAAAAAUCAAAACUAAAAUAUUUAGUCUGAAUGAAAUAAUAUAUAUAGUGCUUUCAAUAUUAAAAAUUAUUUCGAUUUGAAGAAGUGUAUUUAUGGGAUUGUCAUGAACAAAUAACAUAUUAGAAACCACCUAUUUAAAAAAUAAUUUGUAUAAAUAAAAUUAUAUACAUUAGAGUAAGCACAUAAAUCAAAACCAAUAACUUUUGUUUAUUUAGAAUCAUGUUUUUGGAAAAUAAAUAAAAACAAUCAUUUUAUUUACUUUAUGGUAUACAAUUAAACUUUAGUGAUAGUGAUAUAUAUAUAUAUAGUAUAUUUUAAUAUACAUAUUUAUUAUUGACACUUUCUGCUCAUAAGAUUUUAUUAACAUUUGCAUGUUUGAUGUAACAAAAAUUAAACCGUUAAUCACAAAACUUUUAACCUGAGAUUUAUCGAUACAAAUUUCAAAAUUAAAACAUUCAUAUCUCAAUAAUUUUACAAUGUAAACUUUUAAAUUAACAUAUUUAUAUAUUUUUAUAUAGUGUAUAAUUUAAUAUAAAUGAUAUUAAUAUAUAUAAUAUGAAUAUCUAUUAAUGAGACUAAUAUUCAUAUGAUUUAUGAUCAUUUGUAUCUUGUUUGAACAAAAAUAGUUAAACCAUUGAUCACAACAUUUUCAGUGUGAAGCUUUUACAUUUUUUAAUAAUUUAUAGUCGUUUUAAAAAAUUCAAAAUAUAACAUAUAUGAAAAAUCUUUUUUCUAAUUAUAUGCUUAAUGUGAUUGUUUAAUUUUUUUAAUAAUAUAAUAUUAAACACAAAAGAGAGAGGAUAAUUUUUUUUUUAUCAAAUAUGUAUUAUUCAUAAUCAUUAAUUGUCAUAUAUAUGUUAAUUAUAUUAGGUAAUUCCAUAGCUUUUAUUUAAGGAAAUAAUUGAGAAUAUUAUUUUGUACACUACUAAUCAAUUUGAUAGUUAGUUUAAUAAAAAACAUAUUUUAUAUUUAUGUGGACCGACUUAUUUUUCUAAGGAUUCUAAGAAUCAUCAUAGUGAUGACACGUGGCUUACGAAAACAUGUUGUAAUGCUACAUGGUUAAUAUAUAGGGAAUUUUAACCAAUCUUGCAAUGAAAAACACUAUUAUUUAUACUACCAAUUCAAUAUAAUAUAAAAGUACACUAUGUUAUUAACUCGUGAAGAUAAAUUAUGAUAGGUAUAGCUUUAAUUCGAAAAUAACCUUAUCAACAAUAUACUGCAAUUGAAAAAUUAUACUAGAAUAAAUUUAUAAAUAAUAUCAUAUAUAUUAUCAUUCCAAAAUUAGUGUGUACGUACAAAAAAAUGUGUUACCCAAAAUUGUUAUACCAAAUUUGACCACUUAUAGAUCCGCUAACUAUUUUAAUAUUUCAUAAAAUAAGUAACUUAAAAUUUUGAGCAUUCAAAAAUAUCUUAAAAUUAUCAUAAAAAUCCAAAAUAAAUAAAAAUAUAAACUUAUAAUAGGUGAUUAAUAAAGAAACUAAUAGUGUCAUAUCAACUGAUUUUUUCCUACCACUAUUUUCAUAUUCUCCGAAUAACAUAUUGAAAAAAUUCAUCGAAGUCGAAGGAAUUAUAGUUUAUUCAAUUUAUGUAAUGUUAAAAAGUAUAUGAGUAAUUUAAUCAAUUUUUUUAUUUUUUUAUGUUUUAUAUCGGAUCAACCGGCAUCAGUUGCGGAUUAAUAGCGGGUUUUUGGAUUUUUACCGUAUUUUUACAAUAGUUUGUUUCAUUAAAUCCAAACCAGACUAUAUACGGGUCAUUGGAUCUAUCGGUUUGGCCAUAAGUCUAGAUCGGAUAUGAAAAUACUGUUUAAAACUGAAACAUUAUAAUAUAACAACUUUUAAAUUAUUUAUUUCUAAUAAAACUUUACAAAUUCAUUCAAAUUUUAUCAAACGGUCAACAAAAAAAUAUCUGCUCUUUCCAAGCGCGGAUCAAAAUCUAGUUUUACAUUACAAAAGAUGAAUCUUUGUUUAGUCAAUUAAGCAAUCUUGUCUUUUCUUGUGUCAACAUAAGUUUUAUUUCCUGUAAAUUUUUGAUAUUAGUUAUCUUUCUCUCGAUGGAUCUUGACUCUUAUAUGUUUGUUGGUGUUUGUUUCAGUCUCUGGAUUUUCUGGAAAUGUGGCAACUGCGCGAAGCCAAGUCUCUGUGGGAAUGGAUUUGCUCACUGGCUCUACCGUUAUGAUUCCUACUGUUAUUUGUGGAACUUGCACGGUUGUUGGCAAGUGUAACAUUUGUGAAACUAUGGCAAGUGUUCUUGAUACUUUUGAUGCGCUCAUGCGGUGUACUGAGACGGCGUUGGUAGCGUGUUUCUGAUAUUUGUUCUUUUUCUCUCAAUGGGUCUUGAAUCUUAUAUAUUUGUUUCAGUCUCACGGUAGCAGAAGAUAUUAACACUUCCUCCAACAUGGCACCCUGAGAUUCUAUAAAGACAAAAGGUAAAUUAUGUUCCUUAUUGUUUGGGCAUGUUCGUUUCUCCAUCCAGAUGGCUCAUCUGGAUGGAGAUGAGAGUUUUGUUUGUUUAGGCACUAAAAGUGCAACUCUUCCUGAUGGAUCAUCAGGAUGACUUUCAAAAAUUUAGGUUCAUUUUAAAGUUCAUUCAGCUGAACCAAUUUGAACCAUUUGGAUGGAGAUGGUUCAUUCAAUAUGGUAUAAUGUCUAUUAUACCCUUGAUGUAAUUUACAAAUUACAAACCUAAACAUAAUAUUAUUUUGUCAUACACGAAAAAAGACAAAACCACAAAAACGCAUUUUUCCGCGAAAAUCUAAAAACGAAUUUUUCACGUCAAAACCCUAAAAACGCAUUUCCGGACAAAAUUACAAAAACGUGUUUUAAUGCCAAAAUCACAAAAACGCGUUUUCACGCCAAAACCCCAAAAAGACUUUUCAGCCAAACACAAAACAAGUUUUCCGCGAAAACCACAAAACGUGUUUUCCCGCCAUAACGUGUUUUCCCGCCAAAACCGCAAAAUGUGUUUUCUCAUCAAAAUGCAUUUCCCGUCAAAACUGCAAAACACGUUUUCUCCUGAAAACCGUAAAACAUGGAAAACCGUAAAACAUGUUUUCACGCCAAAACGCAUUUUCCGGCGAAAAUCGUGAAAACGUGUCUUCCCGCGAAAACUGCCAAACGUAUUUUCCCGCCAAAACACAUUUUCCACGAAACCCGAAAAAUGUGUUUUCAUGCCAAAACCGCAAAAACGUGUUUUCCCGCCAAAACUGCAAAAAAGUGUUUUUCCGCCAAAACCGUAAAACGUGUUUUCUCGCCAAAACCGAAAAUUGUCGUUUUCCUGCUAAAACCGAAAAAUCUUGCUUUCCCGCCAAAACCCAGCCAAAACCAAAAAAAUUCAUUUUCCCGCCAAAACCAAAAAAAUUUCAUUUUCCCACCAAAACCGAAAACCGUGCUUUCCCGCCAAACCAAAAAUCUUGCUUCUCCGCCAAAACCGCAAAAAAACGUGUUUACCCACCAAACCACAAAACGUGUUUUCUCGCCAAAACUGAAAUUUGUCAUUUUUCGCAAAAACCGAAAAAUUUCGUUUUCCCCCAAAACCGAAAAAUCUCAUUUUCCUGCCAAAACCGAAAAACGUGUUUUCCUGCUUAAACCGAAAAAUCUCGUUUUCCCGCCAAAACCGCAAAAAUGUGUUUUCCCGCCAAAAAUGCGUUUUCUCGCCAAAAUCAAAAAUUGUAUUUUCCCGCCAAAAUCGAAAAAUCUCGUUUUCCUGUCAAAAUCGAAAAAUCUCGUUUUCCUGUCAAAACCGAAAAAUCUCGUUUUCCGCCAAAACCGAAGUUACAGUCGGUUUAUUAUUAAUACUCUUUUUAGUUUGAAACUUUAAGUUUUUUUUUCAAAUUUGUUUAUCAAUUUUUUUGGUUUAUUAGAAGUUAUUAUUGUAGUAUAAUUUUAACAUAUGAUUAAAUCAACACAAGGGUAUUUUGGUAAUUUAUUUACUAAACUCAUUUAGAUGGAAAUAAAAAUAAACAAACAAACAUAAGAUCCAUUUAGAUGAUUCAUCUAGAUGAGCUAUUUGAAUGGACAAACAAACAGUCACAAAAAUCUGAAUGGAUCAUUUGGAUAGAUCAUACAAAUGAAUCAUCUGGAUAGAGAUGAAAAAUGCUGAAACGAACAGGCCCUUUAUCUAUACUUUCUUUUCUAGAUUGAGUCAUUGUAAUUGGGGUUUUGCAUAGGGCAAACAAGCGAUGAUCUUACAAUAUACCUAAGGGAAAAAAGGUUCGACGUUACAAGACAAAGUUCUUGUCGCAGGUAAGAUAUUGUAGUCUCAUAUGAGCUUAUCACAACAGAGUUUGUAUCACAAAAGAGUUGUGUUUCUUCCACUAGGCUGUUGAUGAGACACUUUGGGUCAAACAUUCUCACUUUUCCGGAAGCAAAUACUGACGUCAAAAUGAAGGUGAGUACAUAAAAUGGUUUCAACCUAUGAUAUAAUCCAAAUACACGAGUUAUGUGAAACACAAAACACUUUUCUAAAUUCACCUUUUGCUUUAUUCGAAGGUUGAAAAGUUUUGACAUGAUUUAGGAAUUUCCACAUGGACCCUGAAGUUUACCCGGAUCCUAAAAAAUUUGAACCUUCUUGAUGGGAUGUAAGUUAGAUUUCUCUUCUUGCGUUAUUGGUGCCAAAGAAUGUUUGUUUCAUUUGAAUAUUGUAGCAAGUAAAAAUAUAGUACGCCUGUGAUUUUUCAGAAGGGCUUCAUCCCAAGCUGGUGCUUUCUUUUCUUUUGGUGCAAGGAUAUGAUCUUCCUAAGCUCGAUAUUUUAAUCUUUCAUCACUGAUUAAUUUCCUUCUUAAAUAUAAGUAAUUCUUGCAAAUUUUUAAUCUUUGAAAUGUCAUUCCUUCUGUAUUAUGCUGAAAACAUCCAUGGAGAUACUCAUGUUGGCAUGGUGAAACGGAGCAACAUCGAAUGUCCAGUGGUAUACUUGCCACAUACCACACCAACUGAUAAAUGCUUGGUAAGUAUCAGAUAUCAGUAAAACAUGAAUCUCAUCUUUCUCAUUAAGCUCAAAAGGAGAUAAUGUUCCAUUGAGUUAAACCUUUCUUCCGUUCAAAACUUAUGAGGCUACUUAAGUAUGUUCCAUGAAACAAGGCUAUUUUUCUUUUCAUAGGUAUUUUAUUUUGUAAAACUCUUUUAUCGUCUUCCGCGCUACGCGCGGAUAAUUGGCUUUAAUACAAUCUUAAUUUCCUAUCAUUUAACAUAAAUUAAGAGAUGGGAGAUGACAUGUACUAAUUUUGGUUGCUUAAAUGUUGCAUGUAGCUUUAGUUUGUUCCUUUUUAAAUUGUACAAAGAUUGUAUUUUAUAAGUUUGCCAAAAUACCAAAACUGAGUUCAGAAUACAACAGUUUGUUAAACUUUGAAAUCUUAAUUUCAGUUGGAUUUUUUAAAAGAUCAUCCUCUGGAUUAUAUUGGUGUUUAAUGCGUUCUUAAAAUAAAAUUGCGUCGCCGCUGACAAAGCGAGCAUUAAUUUCCUUGUAAAUAAAAGGCAUUACAUUUUAAGUUGUUAUUUUUACAUUUAUAUUUAACGGAUAAUGUUUUUCGGCAACUUCAUAUUUCCAAUUGUUUCUGUUUUUCAGUUCCCAAAAUAGAUAUACUUGGUUGUCUCAUAGUGAAAAAUCUUUACAAUCGUUGGUCUAUAAUAUAGUUUCAUAUAAGAUGUAACAUAAGUUAGAAAUAUAAAUUUUAUGUUUUGCAUGCAUCUGUUUUAAAGCAACUAACUCUAUGUUUUUUUCAGUUUAUGGACUGUGGCGAUUAAUUUAUUGCAUCAUGCUAUUUUUUUAACUAUAUUUGCUUUAGCUUGUGUAAUUAAUUGACUAUUUUAAUUUAUUUUGUUUGGGAAGAUGACGAUAUUAUUACCCCAGAAGAUCGGUGUUGUGAACUUAAAUGUUAAAUAUAAAUGAUAUGAAUGUGUACAUUAAUUUGGAAAGAUUUGAGGAUUUUUAAAUAAAUAACUUUUAUAAACAUUAAGUCGUCUUAUAAAUCGGUAAGUAACUGAUAGAUUAAAUAUUAUUAGUUUGAUAUUUCUAUGAGAAUUAAAUCCAAAAAAAGUUCAAAAAGACUAAUUGAUCAUCUUUGUAAAAGUAAUUUAAAAAAAAUCUUUUAGAAUAUUUAACAUUUACAGUUUUAACUAUUGAAUAACCACAAUGUAUCCAGCAAUUAAAAUCCCAAAAUUUAAACUGUAUAAUGAAAAUGCAACAAUUUCAAAUACUAUGGUGAACUUUAGAUUUUGUUUUUACAUUUAUAAGUCAAAAAAAUAUACACUACAUACGGUAAAAUAGUGGUGAAUAUAACUUUACAUUUUGGAUGUAUUUAGUCACAAAAAGAAGAAGAUUUGAACUGUACAUUUGUAAAUCAACAUAAUCUACACCAUAUUCUGAUCUAUAACUUUAUAAAGAAGAAAUUAAAUUGUCGUCAUGGACAUGUUGAAAAGCCUAAAUUUUAAUGUUAAAUAGUUUUCAAAUAAUAUAAUAACAUUAAAAUAAUUAAGUAAAAUACUUAUAUAGAAAGUUUGUGCAAAUAAUGCAGAAUUAGUUACAUAAAACAAUCAUUAUUUGAUUUGUUUCUAUAGAGAAAUAGAAUCAACUCAAGAUACAUCACACAAUGCCUAGAAAUGUUUUCUAAAAGUAAAAUAUUAACCAAUAUACUUUAUGAGGAUUUUAUGUUCAAACUCUAGGCAAAAGUUUGUAAACAAAAUAUUAGUUACAUAAGAGAAGACGAUGAUUGUUCAUAAAAGAACUUUCAAAGGUGUAUGCUUCCAAGUUCCAAUUUUAAACCUUCAUAGUUGUCUUUAUUGUAGAAUUGCGUAUAAUGCUCUGAAUCUUUGUUCAACUGCAAAGUCUCUGAAGCAAAUAGAGUAUCUCCUCAAUGCCAGCUCAGCAAAUGAAGACUUCACCAAGCUUAUCAAUACCCCCACCUUUGAAAAGAAGCUUGACCCCAAGCUUCUAUGUAUAGCACUGCUUUGUUUUUGAACUUAAACCACCAAUUCUUGCUUCUCCAUCGGUGCCAAAUGUUGUGAACUCUUUGUAGUAUAGUCCGAGCUAAUGACAGACCCAACAGAACCAAAACUCUGAAGCACACAUUGUCCUGCCGCAACACAAUGAAUCCACUGUGCAGCUUCUGAAGUAGAUGUGGUCUCUGUAUCUCUGAAAACUUUUGAUAUGAUCCCAAGUAAAAAUGGACCACUGUACCCAUGUAACACAGCGAGAGUAAGCCCAGUGUGUCCGCUUCACUAUUCAGUGUGCCCCUAUGAAGCAUGAGAUCAUAAAAUUGGUCUUCGGACUCAGUAACUUUAACAGCAAAUGGUUGUAACUGCUGAAACCUCCACUUAUGUUUCAGUUGGAACGUAACAUCACUCGCCAUAAGCUCUUUUAGCUCGUGUUGUCGCAUCUCCACACUGCCCAUGUCAUCACUUAGCUCGUCAGCCACAAAGAUAUGUAUCUCAAUGUCAAGCCAACUUUGUAGCUGCAUACAACCCAUCCCCCUGACUUACAGUCUUUUUCUUUCUUUCCAGCAAUGCCACAUGUGAGAACCGAAAUUCGCACUGUCGAUUUACGUUUAAAUUAGGAAACUAGGAAAACCCUAAUUUCCCAGAGGUUCCGGAUCUCUGCGAGAGCCAACGGCAAGUGACCAAAUAUAUGCGGAAAUCAUGAAAAGAUAACAAACGAGUUUAGAGAAAACAGUAGAUCUUAUUUCGAGUCCGCGUGAGAGAGUUGCGAUCAUUACAAGAGAUCAUAAAAGCUUUGGCCUCAAAGGCUGUCAGCGAGUUACCUAGUUCUAGCGGCCUAAAAGCUCAAACCUAGUUGACUCGCAGCUCGAUAACAAAAGACGAAGAAAAUACAGAAAAGGUUUUUGAUUGAUUUCAGACUGAACCUUAUGAAAGGCUGCCUACGUACCCCUUUCGAGGAUCAAGCCGAACGUAGUUCAAGAGUGAACCAAGAGAUCGAACUGCUUGUGCACGUUUGUCUGGUAAUCGGGUGCCAGUCAUGGAAACAGAGCAUGUCGAGAAUAAUGCCUCAGAGUUUCUAAGUGCCGAGAGUUCUGAGUCUAAAAAGUUGUCUCUCAUGCCUCUCGCCUAGGACUCCUUAUAUACUCGCUCCUAGGUCGGUUUACGCUUUUCCCCUUCUGCCCAUAAGCCGUCAUAGCCUAAAGAUAUUCCAUUUUUCCCAAUCUUCGUAAUUAUCUUCAAAAUUUCGUAUUUAUCUGCGGAAACUUGAUAUUUAUCUUUCUUUGUGAACCAAGCUAAACCGUCCCACGGUUUACGGGCUGCUGGUUAAGAAAUCGUAAGGUGGGUUUCGAGUCAUGCCUUAGGUCCCUUUGGGCUGUCUUUCGACUUGAAGCGUUUAUUACGACUUCUUUCGAUAAAAACAAACUUUCCGCGGUUUUUAUCGUAAAGUUUGAUUGAUGACUUCGAAUGGCGGAAAACAUGAAAUGGGUUCGCUACGGUCUUCGGGAGACAGCAUCGAAGGGUAGACGAGAAUGCAUGGAUUCGUGUCGUAUCGACGUUUCGGAAGAGCUCGGUCGCUACGUAGCGACCGAACGGAACGCACGCUCGNNNNNNNNNNNNNNNNNNNNNNNNNNNNNNNNNNNNNNNNNNNNNNNNNNNNNNNNNNNNNNNNNNNNNNNNNNNNNNNNNNNNNNNNNNNNNNNNNNNNAUUGUUAAUUUAUUAUUUAACCGCUGCUGCAUUUGGUAGUUAACCAGUCAUAAGUAUCCCGCAAACGCACCAAUUUCUUACCGCAGAACCAGUCGUACAAAUCUCUUAAAACCGUUAGAAACCGCAACCACCCGCAUCCGCAAACUCCCGCAACCGCUGCGGUUGAAUCAGUCAGACCCUUAAUAUCAGAUAUAUGCUAAACACAUGCGAUGAUCUGAUCAAAUAGUAGACGAGAGUAGACAUGUCCAGAUUUACUUAUUUAUACAUCCACCAUCUUUUAAAAAGAAGAUCACAAACCCACAGGACACCACCAAACAAACCAAAAGAGAUUGUAACAAGAAAGAACAAGUGAACAUGGAUAAGUAUGUGAAGAUUUGUGGGCUAGCCCUCAUCAUGGGGCUGUUGGCAGUCUUGGUGAUUAUUAUGACAUUUUCACUUAUCAAAAAGAUAAUUGAGAUCUUCAGUCUUUCGUUUUCGUAAUAAUGUGAUGGAUUAAUCUAAGAUAAAAAGACUAGGAUAGCAAUAAACCAAAUUUUUGUUCUCAAAGUAGCACUCAAUGCUCAAAGUCACAAAAAUAGGUUUCAUUAAAGAGGUAAAUAUACACUUAUACCCUUGGGUUAAUUAAUCCAAAUCUUAGGAUUUAGAGUUAAGGGGUAGGUUUUGGAAUUAGGGUUUAAAAUUUUAUAAAAAAUAAAUACUAAAAUAAAAAAUAAAAAUUUUAAAAACAGUUUCCAAAAGUAUUUUUAAAUUAUAAAACGAAAAUUUGAAAAAAAAAAUUCGAAAAAAAAAACUAUAAAAAUUUCGAAUCUGAAAACAUAUAAUCUGAAACUAUAAAAAAAAAUUCUUUUUUUUUUCAUUUUUUUUAUUUUUUUUAUUUUUAUUUUUAUUUAUUUUUGUUUAUUUAUUUAGUUUUAAACCAAGGGUAUUAAGGAUAUUUUACCCUUUAAUGAAUGUCAUUUUUGUGACUUUCUCUUUCUAGUGUCAUUUUUGAGACAUAAACUUCAAAAGGUGCUAUUAUUGACAAUUGCCCUUAAUCUAAUUCAACCUAUAUUCUUCUCUGAUCAUUGUAUCUCUGAGGAAUAAUAAUCAAUAUAAAUUCUUAAAAGAUAAAUGUUAUUUCGUUCAGACAAGAAUUAUGCAUAUGCUUGUUAGUUCUUUAUGUUAUAUACACAUCUUUUACUUUAUCCACUACAUUAUUUCACUACUCAUACUCAUGUAUGUUGUUUUAAUCGUAUACAACAUUAACUAAAAACAACCGAUAAAAACCUGACAUGUAAAUCGUAAAAAAAAAAAAAAACAGUUGUGAAUGAUAUAGAGGAACCGGUAAAAACUUAAGAUGGGCCUUAUUUCGCGGCCCAAAUGCAGCCUACAUGGGUAAGUUAUUUCUCCUACUCGCGCAACCUAGUAGAGCGCGUGGAUCUAACUAUUCAAGGAGCGUGGUUUCCCAAAAUUCAAAUUUAAAACAUUUUCAUCCCGCCACACUACACCAGUUGUGUUAUACAGACGCUUCCCAUUCCCUUUGACCUACAAAAAAAAAAAAAAAAAAGUAAAGACGCUUGCUUCUCUUGUUAGCUUCAAAUCUCUCAACUCUCUCUGAUCAGAUUAUGGUGUAAGCAAUCACAACAUCAUAGAUGGAUUUUCAUGCAAUGAAUCGGAAAAAUCUACAAAUCCUAUGUAAAAAGCAUGGGAUCCCUGCGAAUCUCAAGAACAUCGAGAUGGCUAAUCGACUCUCUUCUCUUAUUAUCCAGGUGAUCGCAACCGAUCCACAGUAAUUGAUUGGUUCUCGUGAUUUGUGUUAGGAUCGAACAAUAUAGAGGUUGAUUGAUUUUGUUUUGGGUGUUUAUUUAAUGUGUAGAAGGAAGAGGAGGAGGAGGAGGUAGUCGCUAGUAGAAAAGCUAAGAAAGUAAGAUUCAGUCCCGAGACUGAUAAUCAAGUUUUCGAAUUCACUCGAUCUGUGAAGAAGAGUGUUAGAACGCGUAAAGCUCCUCAGCUAGGUGGAUGUAUAGAGCUAAGGAGGUCGAAGCGAAGUGUGUCUAAGGGGAUAGGUGAUGAUGGAGAUGAUGUGUCAAACUCGAUAAGUUCUGUUGGUAGUGUUCAAGAUGACGGUUUAUUACCUGGAGAUAUAGAUAUUCAGGAGGAGAGACGGUCCACGAGACUGGCGGCUAGAAUUGAGAAAGCAUGCGUGGAAGGUGGGACAUCUAAGGCGGUAGCUUUAUUACCUGCUGCUAAGCGGUCAAAGCGAAGUGGCUCUGGUGGUAGUAGUACUCAAGAAGAGGGUGAAGAUAAUGAUUUGAAUGCUCCAGAACGGGUUGAAGAUAGAGAUGUCCAGGGUGGGAGACGGUCCAGGCGACUGGCUGCUAAAACUGAGAAAUCAUCUGAGGAAGGUGGGAUGUCAAAGUCGGUGACUUUAUUACCUGCGGCUAAGCGGUCAAAAGGGCUUGUAGACGUGGCUAACAAAGAAGAUGAAAGGGAAACAGGAGAACCUAAUAGGAAGGGUGGUGGUUCUAAAGUUGAGAUGGUGCGUAGGCGGUCUAUGCGGUUUGUGAAUGAGCAGACCAGUGCUCAGGAUCAGAGAAGGUCAGUGAGACUUCAAGCUAUUGUGGCAAGCCCAUUAACAGCAAAGAAUGAUUCAGUGAAGGCUUCAAGAGUAGUUAAAGGGAAUCUAGUUGAUAAGAAGACGGAUGAGAAUCCUGUCAAAUCGAAAAGAGUUACUAGAAAUAUGAAGCGGGGCAGAUCAGGAGAGCCAGAGGUGGAGAGUGGAGCUGCAUCAAACCAAAGCAAUCUGACGCUUAAGAAGACUUUGAAUGAGUUCGCUCACUUUGAGCAAGAAGAAGCUUGUGGAGCUGAUGUUAAAGCUGGAGGCUCUUCCAAGAAUCAAAAAUGCAUCGAGGAUAAGCCUCAAGGAAUAAUAAUAAUUGAGGACUCUCCUUCUUCCUCCAAAACCAAAGCUGCGGAAUCUGUUGAGAAGGUUUUCGAUCCUACACUGGAUAAAUCAGCUGAUAGUUCUCAAAGGUCAAACAGUCGAGAGAUUAAUUGUGAAUCUGUGGAAGGAGAUUGUGAAGAGAAACUUGAGCGAGAGACAGUUUCUAUGCCCGUGAUGGAGGAGGACAAAGAGGAAGUAUCACCACGCUCUCUAAGCAGUCCAAAAGAUAAGCUACACGUCCCUACUGGCCAUAUCAUUGUUCAGGAUAUUGCUUCAACAUUUAUAGCAGAGGAAAGUACCAAAACAAAGGACAAAACCCUUAUUUACUCUCCUGAAUCUGAGCUUAAGGAGAAUAGCUGUAUAGCUAAGUUAGCAAACGUUGAAGGUAUAUACGUUUUGAUAUGAUUUUUUUCCACGUUUAUGGGUAACUAAUCAUUUUCUAAUAUGUGCUUUCCUCUUAUGUUUAAUUUAAUCACAGAAAGUCUGGAAAACUCAACUGAACGUUGGAAAGAGAUUCACUCAGGCAAAGAUGAUGAGAAAGGUUCCUUGGAGAAUGAUGUACAAGCAGAAAAUUUGCAUGGGAACGUUUCUGAAUGCAAUACUGAGAGUAGCAGUGCAGAAGAAGAAAUGGAGAUUAGUAAGAUCGGUGGUCUGAGUGUUGCUCACUGUGUAAAUCUAAUACCAGAAAAAUUUGUGGGUGAGUACUCUCAGUUAGAGCCAGAAGAAGCAGAGCGGCCUAACGUGGAAGCUAGAAGCUCUUGCCAGAAAGUGAAGAAGAUAGUGGCUCAAGAAUUCGUAAAAGAUAAGCCACAAGAAAUGGCUGAGGACUCACCUUCUACAUCUGAAACCAAAGCUACAGAACCUACUGUGAUUUCUGAGAAUGUUUUGGAUUCUACACGGACAGUGUCAGGUGAGACGUCAGCGGUGAGAAACAGUCACGAGUUGAAUUCUGAAGUUUUGGAAGAAGGACGUGAAGAGAAACAUGAGCAAGCCAAGACUAAAAAAGACAAAGGGGAAACAUCAUCACUCUCUGAAUUUCUUACUGAGCGCUCAGAAGUGAAAACCUGCCUAGAUAACCGCAUCACUAGCUGUUCUCUAUCUGUGGAAGCUACUUUGUCUCCUGCUUCAGUACAAUUAGCAAUGAGCAACCCGGAAGCCGAUCUAGGCGUGCCUACUGGCAAUGAGGAGGAAACCCUUAUUUUAACCCCUACAUCUGAGCUUAAGGAGGAUAACGCUGUUGCUAAGAUAUCAAAAGUAGAAGGUAUGUACUCUUUAGUUCAUCUGAUUUAUACUUUUCUAUUACAGUUUUGCUAUCUAAUUCGUUUCUAAUAUGCGUCUCUUUCUGAUAUUUAAUUACAGCAAUCCUGGGAAACUCAGCUGAAUGUUGCAAAGAGGAUGAGAAAGGUUCCUUGGAGAAGGAUGUCCAAGCAGAAAAUUUGCAUGUAAACUUUUCUGAAUGCAACACUGCGAAGAGCAGCUCAGAAGAGGUGGAGAUUAGCAAGGAUGGUAGUAUGAGUGUAAAUCUGACACCAGAAAAACUUUUGGAUACGUACACUCAAUUGGUGCCAGAAGAAGCAGGGGGACCUAAUGUGGAAAUUAGAAGCUCUUCCAAGAAAAUGAAGAUAGUGAGUUCAGAAUGCCCAAGAGAGAAUCCACAAGGAAUGGCUGAGGAGUCGCCUUCUACAUUCGUGACCAAAACUGCAGAAACUCUCAUGAUGUCUGAGAAUUUUUCAGUUGAUAUUUCACCGGUGGGAAACACUCAAGAGUUGAAUCAUGAACUUAGGGAUGAAGAACGUGAAGAGAAACAAGAGCUAGACAUAGUUCUGGUGGCUGAGACAGAGAAGGAGAAAAAGAAAGCAUCAUCACCAUCUGAGCUAUUUGUGGAAACCACUCCACCUCCUCCUUCUUUAGUACAGAUAGCAGUGAGCAACCCUGAAUCCGAGCUAAGUGUGCCUACUGGACAUAUCCUUGGUAAGGAUAUUGUUUCAGCAGUUAUUGCUGAGGAAGCUAUUAAAACCGAGGAGGUUUCUAAAUCUGUGCAGAGCUUUGUAGCUAAAUUUGCAGAAACAGAUGGUAUGUCCUCUUUUUCAUUUUUUGUAAUUUUUUGCUUUUAUGGUCAACUUUAUUCUAAUCUGGUUUCUUUCUGACGCUUAAUCACAGCAGUCCUGGAAAAUUCAGCUGAAUGUUCGAGCAAGAGUCUUUCAAGCAAAGAUGAUGGUAGAGGUUCCUUGGAGAAGGAAAAACAAUCAGCAAAGCUACAUGGAAACUUCUCUGAAUACAACUCUGAGAAUAUCAGUGCAGAAGAACAAGCAGACAUCUGUAAGGUUGGUCGUAUUAGCCCUGGUCAUUGUGUGCACCGGGAGACACUCGACGAGGUCGAGGAUGAGAGUCUUAUGAAAUCUGUGCAAACAAUUUCUAGUGCGAGAGGUUGUAAACCAAAUGCGUUGGAGCUAAGUGGAUCGUUUUCAACUGACUUUGCUUCCCUUUCACAUAAGAAAGAGAACGUUUCAGAUUGUUUGGAGGAAGAGGAAAUGAAAGCUUUAUCCCAACCUAUACCAAUACAAAAGGCUGCUAGCAACGUACUUGAGAGGUCGUCUCUAUUCACUACUCCCGAGAGGAACUUGAUGUUAAUGGAGCAACAGAGCGAAAGUGGAAAGAUCUGUGAAGCUGAUAUAGUGACCCAGCACAAUGAUGAAGCAGUAGAGUCUCAUGCUGUUGUUUUCACAACUCCUGAAAAAGUUUUACUGCUGGGUGAUUCUUGGCUAGAUGAUGUGGGAAAGGAAGGGGAACAUACAGCCAGAGACUUUCCGGAUGAAUCUGAUGUUCUCAAUACCAGCGCAAAUGAAGCUUUUAAUGAAGGAGAAAGAAUAGUAGUUGAGCUUCAUGACGAGUCUAACAUUCCCGCAAGCCCACUGAGACAUUCCAGGGUAGGAAACUUCAAAGAAGAAAGAACCGAAAGGAAUGAAGAAAAAAGGACGGUUGAGCUCCAUUUUGAAUCCGGCACUUUCACUGGACCGGAUAAACAUGAUGGAGCAGAGAAUAGUGAAGGAAACAAAGCUAUGGAGUUAUAUGAAGAAUCUGUUGAUUUCACUGGUCUGGAGGAGAGACAUGAGCUUUUUAGGGAUUCUGGAAAAGAUAAAGCUAGAGAAGAUGAACUCAAGAUGGAUGCACAGUUCUAUGAGGAAGCUGGAUUAUCCACUGAGAUGCACAAAGAUCUACCUUUAGCAGACCCUGAACUAGGCGAAGCAGGAUGGCUAGGAAUUAAUAAUGAUGACAAGUCAGGUAGCCUGGAGGGAAAACUCUUAUAUGGAGACUCUGAACAAAAGAAAGCAGAAAAGGCGCCUGCAGAGUUUCAUGAUGAGUCUGCUGUUCCCAGUAUCCCAGAAAGACAUCCAUUCCCGGAAGAGUCUGAACUGGAAGAAGCUGCAAAAAGUGAAGAAAACAAUGCUUUGGAAUCGCAAGCUGACUGUGACAACUUCACUGACGCCAUCGUAAAUGCUAAGUCUCAUGAUAUGUCCGAUGUUCUCACUGCUCCUGAAAGCCACUCUAUUAUGGGAGCCUUUGAGCCAGAUGGAGAAGAAAACAAGGAUGUGGAAUUGUUGGGUGAAUCUAACAUUUCCACAAACGAAGAGUCUGGACAAGAUGGAAAGAUAAAAUAUAAUACAGCAGCCACUUGCGAAGAGUCUUCUUUUUUCAAUUCUCCAGAGAGGCGACACCAUCUAGGAAACACUGGACCACACACUGCUGGAAAGCAAGAACGAAAGGAAGUGGAGUUCAAGGACGAGUCUGCCUUCUUCACUAGGCUCGAGACUCGUUUACUUUUGGGAGAGUCUACUCAGGACCGUCUUGAUAAUGGCAAGUCUGGCUCAGCCAAGUAUCAAAGCCAUCGUGAUUCUUCUCGCAAAAUGAUUUUGAAGGACGACAGUGUGGCUCGGGAAUGUCAAGUUGCAGCUCCAGAUUUCAGAGAAAACACUAUUGCUGAUUUUAGUGGUAGUAUCGCAUCGAAAGUUUCUUAUAGCCAUGAGUUCAGUGCCGGGGAAGUAUCUGCAGGUGCAGAGUUUAUGCCAAAAGCUUCUCAGGUAGAAAAUGUUGCAGGUCUAGAUGCCACACAAGGGACAUCAAAGCAAAGCAGAGGGAAUUCUCCAAAUGUCGACACAUGCCAUUCUAUGGAGGCUGACACAAUCAUGGAUGCAGGAAGAAACGUUUCCUUCAGCUCCUACGUUCUUUCCUUACCAGCUGAAGGUAAUUCCGAGACAAUUGGUGAAAUUUCCAACCACAUAGAAGUUGCUGGAACCUGUUCGUUGGUGUCUGGUGAGAAAACUUUUCUUUAAAUUCUCAUGGAUUUAGUAUAGCCUAAAGCUAUUAUGCUCAUGAAUGUUCUUUCUUUUUCCCUACGAUGCAGAAGAAUCUGGCCCUUCCACAGACAUUCAGAAUCAGAUACAUGAUGCAGUGGAGGAACUGGCAGUAACAGGUAACUACCACAUUAACACUUAUUUUUCAGCAUCACACACUUGUUUUUGGAGGCAUACAUAAGUGCAAGAUAUUUAAAAUAUUUCCAAUCAUUUGUUGACAAUAUUGACGUAGACGAGAUCGUAGAUGCAAAAUUAAUCAAGAACAGUCAAAGUGAUUCGAAGACAAUUAGCUUACCAGCGGAAGGUGAUUCCAAGUCAAUUGGUGAAAACUCCAGCCAACUUGAAGCUACUGGAACCUGCUCCAUGGUGUCAGGUGAGAAACUUUUAUAAUUUUGUUAAUAUGAAGUCUAGAUCAUGUGGCCUAAUCAUAAGUUUCCCUUUUUUUCUAUUGAAUCAAAAUGCUCUUAUAUCUUUCUUCAUCCCUGAGAUGCAGAGAAAUCUAUCCCUUCCAUGGAUAUUCAGAACCAUAUAAAUGACGCACUGGAGGAGGAACUGGCAGUAACAGGUGAUUAGCACAUUAACACUCCUUUAUUUUCAACAUCAUAUUUUUCUUGAAGACAUUGAUAACUUAAAAGAUCUUUCAAUUAUUUCCAAUCAUUUAUAGACAAUAGCAAAGCAGACGAGCUCAUAGAAGCAAAAGUAACGAAGAACGUUGACUCUUCAGAUGGCUCUGGAAAGACAUGCGUCUUAACUGGAACAGAGGAUGAGCACUUAUGUUACAAUUCUGAAGUAGCUGAUCCUGUUGAUACUGCAUUUGGUAAAUUUCGUUAUUACAUCUAAGCAAUUUCCAGGUGUUACUAUGUUUGGAUACUCUUGACUAAUUCAAUUCAAUCUCACAGAGAAAGACAUCUCUCUGACUCCUGAUGAAUCCACUCUACAGAAAAACAAGAACCAAGAAGGUUAGAUUUCCACAGAUCUUGCCACUCUUAAGUAGCUAAAACAAUGACUAACAAUUAGAAUCAUUUUCGUUGUUAUCUUUUAGAAAUAUCUGCAGAUGAUGAAAUGCUCAAGAGAGAAGAUACUCCCAGUCCUGCAGAGACCUUUAAUGAGUCAUCUGAAAACAUUGGUGAAUCAUCUGAGAAGCAAGUAAGAAGAGAACAAGUCUUGUUUUACAGAACACAAGCGAAACCUAAAACGCAUGACAUGAAAGAGAAUGCACCAAACUCAAAGAUUGUGGAUAAUCUUAACGUAACAGCUCCAAGGACAUCGAAGAGACAGCCGCUCCAAGACUUGAGGAAGAACUAGAAAGACAGAGAAUCGGCAUAACUCAUGCACGUUAGUCUCAAACUUCCCUUAUUUGCUUUGUGACAUGUACGUCUAGUAAACCUUUCAAACUUGUUUUAUUUGCCUGUGUGUUUUCAAAUAAUUAAAAACCACUCUGGCUUUUGAUUUAUUGUGCAACAAAAGUUACCAUUAAAAUAAUUAGUUGUAUAUUGUAAACAAAGGUCAGAUAAAAACAGAUCCCAGCGUCUAUUCUGUUUUUAAAGACUGGUCAGCUUAGCUGACUCAGCUAUUAAUAACUAUUCACUUCACAUCACAAUUCACUGUGACGAAACAACCAUGGGUGCACCUUCUCCUUCCAUAAGCCUUGUGUACCAUCUCAGGCUUGAUGAAGAAACAGGUUACCGCUGGGCCUCGCGGAUGCGGCUCCAACACUGCUCUAUGAUUCAGGUUACACUUGGAGAGGGACGCUGAGAUAUAGCUCCUCUCCUCUGUUACUAUUGCUUGAGAAUAAAGGAUACGUUUACUCACAACAAGGUUUUUCAAAUCUGGCAUACAUAAAUUUCAUUUUUUUUCUCAAAUCCAGACAAUCUUUUAUCCUUGUCAAAUCGAUGAACUACUACACGAGAACAUGGCUAACCCCUAAGCCCUGCCGCAAGUCAGGGACAUUAGAAAAAAAAAACAUACCAACAAAUGAAAGAGAUCAUGAUCCAUAACUAAGUCUUCACUUCAAGAGAAUCUUCAAUCCAUUGAACAAGUUGAUUCGCCGCCAAAGCACCCUCCUGAAAAGCCAUAAGCUUCUUAUAAGCCUAAGUAAAAACAAUAAAACAAAAGACAUUUAAGAAGUGAAGGAAACUCAUCAUACAAAUCGGUCACAAGGCUCCCCAUCUUUGAAUAAGAUAAGCGUAGGAAGCGCCUCGAUCUUGUAUUUAUUAGCAAUACUCGGAUACUUCUCAGUAUCAAUCUUCACCACCUGGAUCUUGUCUUUCAAUGUUUCACUCACUUCACUGAGAAUCGGAACCAUGAACUGACAAGGGCCACACCUGCCACAAUAAACAGGCUACAUUGCAUCCCAAACCACAACUAACACUAGUCAGAGAAAACAAAACUCACCAGGUCGCGUAGAAGUCGACAAGAACAGGCUUGUCAGAGUUCACAAGGAGAUCAUCGAACGAGUUAUAUGUCUGCUUCUUUGCUUCAAUCUGUAUAGUAAUAAACACGACAUUGGUUCGUCAGUGAGCUCAAAAGUAAACCGAGAAGUAGAUAAAGGAACCCACUUUAAGCACAUCCAAAGCCUUAUAGACUAACCCUUGACACGUGCUUUAGAUAGACUAGUUCAUGUAAUAAAAUUAAGUUUAGUUUUCAGACAGAACCUAAACUGUUUUAAACAAGGUUAAGAAACACAAGAAGGUAGUUUACAGGGCGAGGAGUGGAUCGAGUUGAUGAAGAUAGCGAGGAAAGGUUUAAGUCUCCGGUUCGAAUCCGGCGAAGUGGGAACUGGAAUUUGACGGCGGAGAUAGAGCGCGGAGCGAGAGCAGGAACAGUAGACGAGCCUUUCCUAUUCAGAGAUAGGAUUGUAGAUGGUGAGAGAGAAGUAGCCGCCAUUGAAACGAUCUCGUGAUUCUGAUUGAAGGUAUGAUCGUUAUGAAAUGCUAUUUGGGUUUUGUCCAAAGAAUGUGUGAAGGAAAGUCACAGAAGGUAGGAGAAAGAGUUGGUGAUCCACUACGGUCGAGUGCACGGUGUAUUUAUUUUUAUUUUAUUAUUUGUUUUGGGCCUGAUGGCCCAAAUAAACACAAACACGCAUAGAACAUCUUCUCUCAACCCAAACCCAAUUAAGUAAUUCAUAUACGGUAACUUGCUCGUCAGUCAUCACAUGCAUGUAACAUACACAUAGAGUAAAAAUCUCUAUAAAUUUGUUUCAUCAACUAUUUUGCUAAUAAUUAUUUUUUAUUUAACAUUCAGGAUUAUUAGUUUUAAAAAAAAAGAUAUAGACUAAAGUCUUGAAAAAUUCUCUCAAAUAACAAUUUUUAAGUUUUUGUCACAAAAAUAACCCCAAAAAAUGAUCAAAAUAGCUAUUUUUUAUUUUGAAAUUUUUAAUAUUUAUUUUUUAUUUUAAAAAUUUUGAAAUCUUAUUCCCAAAAUCUCACUCAUUAACUCUAAAAUCUAAGUAUAGGUUAAUAAAAAUAUAUUAUUAAUAUUUAAUAAAAUUUAUUUUGGUAAUUUUUUUUAUCGAAUGCUAUUUUUGUGACAAAAAUUUUAAAAUGGUUAUUCUAUGGAAUUUCUUUUAUUUUAUAUGAACAAAAACCUCAAGGACUUGGCUUCUCUUACAACCACAAUGCAAUGUAUGGUCUUCGCUUAUCGUGGAAGUGUUCUUAACAACAAUGCAAUGUAAGGGUAUAUGCAUAAUGCAUUAAUUGGUCAUUGUUUUAGUUUCCUGAAGAGGAAGUAAAGAAUAUAUUCUUGUGUGGGGGCUCUUCAAAGAUACUUACCUAAGAGCAUGAUUAACCCAUAUACCCAUUUGGGUCUCUUAUUCAUUAUUUUAGUAAUUAAAAACCUAAGUAAGAAACUUCCUGAUUUAAAUAAGGUCAAAGAACUCUCUCAGGCACACACUUCGAGGUCUCUCCAAGAUCUACUUUAUCCGGCGCCGGCGAAGCGGUUUCUCGUCGGCGCGGGGUACUAUUUCCGGCGUGUUGCUAGCUUUCAUCUUCAUGGCUCUGUCACGCAUCCUUUUUUGUUUGUCACUACAUCGCUUCUGUUGGUCAAUCGAAGGAGAAAGACACCUACGGAUUCAACGACGAAGCCGAGGACUCUUCGUCUCAGAUCUUCCGGCGGUCUCUCUUCCUCAGAUGGCCUCUCCCCCAGCGACGAGUCGAGAGGGUUCUCUCACCACCGCUGUGUUCCGGUUCUCAGGGACAGUUCCCGAUGAACCUCCCUCUGGCUGCCGUGGGACAGGUUAUGUUAUCAACUUUGUCCCGUGCUUUCAUAUAUCUUUGGAGCAGAGAUUUCAUCUGAAUAGCUCUUCCUUUCUUUCUUCGGGAAGGCUUGAGCCUAUUAUCACACCACGGUUUGCUCCUCUCCAGUGUUCAGGCACCAGAUCUCAAAGCUCCACGAGAUUAGAUCCGAAUUUUGUCGGUGGUUCUUCACUUUACUCAUUUCCUAAAGUGGUGCUCUCCUCCUAUGCGUGGAUCCUCCUAAACGGCUAUACUGUUCCUCUUCGACAAAGCUUCUCCGGUGACCUCUUCCACGGCACCGUCGAAUGGCCAAGAUCCGACGCGUCUCGCUCCGAGCAGGUUGUGGGUAGUGGGCUGGAUUUCAAUUACGUUUGGGCUUGGCCCAUCGAAGCUACCAAACCUGCCAGCCCAAAGUUCAGCUUGAUAAAACCCAAAUUCAAGAAAGAAGAUGCAAUUCAUAUUACAAUGGGUUUGGGUGUUUGGGUUAAAUUUAUAGAGAUUUUCGGUGGGUUCACUGGAAUCUCUUUUCAAUGCAUAUUGCCAUAUCUCUCCUUUGGGAUGAAUUCACCGAUGGGUGCACCGGUUUGGGACUCGAUUUCACCAUCCUUCUCUCGUGAGAAGUGUCCUUUACCACCAUUCCUUCUUUCCAUGAAAGGAGAUGUUUUCUCGGUUUCAUUAUCGAGGUAUAGUUUCAGCUUCUUCACCGUUUUGUCAUCUUGUGUAGCGGUCUGUACGGGGCCAGAAGAUGCAAUCGAGUCUACUGCGGUUUUUCUCGUAGGUGAGAACUGGCUCUCAACGUCACUUGUGACUAUCUUUCAGCUAUCCGACUUCGUCGUGAAAGCCUUAUCGACGCAGUUAAGCUUGGUCUUGAUUUCGCUGUCAUCAUCUUCUCUUGAAGAAUUAUCCUACUUAGCUUUCUUUAUUUGUGUUGUUUAUGCUUUUAGUGAAAGAGGAUGUCACAUUCCUUCAUGUUAUUGUAACCAAACAAGUUAAGUCUGAAUGAAAUUAAGUUGUGUUCAAAAAAAAAAAAAGAAACUUCCUGAUUUUGGGUCUCCAAUGGUAGUCUCUUCUUUAGGGGUUUUUAAUUAAAAAAAUAUUCAUCAAAAUGUUGAUCAAAAGAUCCAUAAUCCUAGACUAACCUAACACAUUCCAGACAAGAUUCAAAAUCUAUUCAUUUCAGACAAGAUUCUAGAUCAACAUCAAUGUGAACCUACGAAUCUAGACAAUGCUCUUUAUAAAAAAAUUCUAAUCGAUUUAAAAGACCAUAGAAUUAUGAUUUACCUGUGUUGCAAUUGUUGUUCUCUUGUUUGCACUAGUGAUUCCGUGAACGCAGACAUCAGCUUCAACGAGACAGACAUCCUUGAGCAACAGACCAGUACUUGGCUUCAACCAUUGAUACGUAUUAAACCCAUCCGUUCUCCAAGCUUGAUCCACUGAACCAUUUAGUAACGGUAAAACAAGAAUAAAGUUACAGAACAAGAAGUGAAUAUUAGGUUCACAUAUCAAGAAUUGAGUUUAUGGUUGUUACCUUUCCCUGCAAUGUGUCUGCUUUGAAGCUGAUCAUAUAUUCCUACUGUAUCUUUGUACCGUCUGAAACAGUUUCAUCUUCUGCGAGGAUCAGAUAUAUAGAAAGAAUCAACAGAGCAGACACAAACCAACACAACAACAAAUCAAAAUAACAUAGAGGGAGCAGAAUCUAAGACCUGCAUGUAUUUAAGGAUUCCGACAUAGCUUUACCUUUCGAUGGCACUCAUGGCAGACUGAAGGUCUUGUGCUGUUCCAAAAGAGACGAAACCAAACCCCCGAGACCUCCCGCUGUCUCUUUCAUACACGACUUUAGCACCAAGCACACCAGGUUGGUUUGCAAAUGCAUCUUUCAGACCUUGUGAGGUUAGAUUCCAACCGAGGUUUCCUGCAUAGAGCUUGUGAGGACUGUCAACAUAUGGGUUGAAACAGAUCAACAGCAUCAUUCAGACAAGAACAGAACAGUUUCUCAAUCUCUCUUUGUAAGAGACUUUCCCCACUUUUCCGAGACUAGAAAAGGCUCGUUCAGACAAGAACAGAUACUCUGUUGAUAAAAAAAAGACUUUUGGUAAGAGAAUCAAAAACAAAUCUUUUUCAAUUAACUCAUAGAAUCAAGUUUACUUCUUUGCUUUACUUCAUGUCUUCCUCAACUGAAGCUUUCUCUCUCUCUCUCUCUCUCUCUCUCUGGUUUGUUUCUCCUCUGCCCUAAUCAAUUAAGCAAUCAAGGUACCACCUGUUUCGAAAAUCGCCGCCGGGAAUAGGAAAACAAAGGAAAAAGGAGAAGAGAGUCCGGAGAACGACGUGUGUCCAGAAGAGACGGUCUCUUCUGUCUCUUGAUCAAGAGACGUUCCUGAGGGUAAUUGCUAUUUUUUAUUUUCUUUAAAUCCUAAUAUGCUAAGAGACUCGGCUUAAGGAACCCCGUUAAAGAUGGCCUAAUAACCUAAUUAAAAAACAGAUGCUGCUAAAGAAAGAAGCAGCACAGGUUAAGAAAAAUGGAGCUUGAAUUAGGUCUGAAGAUCACUAGGGCAAGAGACAACGAUGUCUCUUCCUCUACAGAUUUCAAGGUUUCCAGAGAUGUGUUUGGUCAGCUCUGGCAUUCUAGAGAAACCGAUUCUGUGUUCAUCCUCACUCUUCACCUAAAAGGUUUCAUCAUAUAAACCUAUAUUGAAAGUUUCAUGCACAUUUUUUUGAGAGAGAUUAAAACUGAAAACUGAAUGCAGGAUUCAAGAAGGAUGGUAUUGGUACUGAGAUAAACAAAGAAGGGGAUAUGCUUACUAUAAGAGGAAGGAAACAAGUUGAAGAAAUGGUUUUGGUCAAGUGGGUGAAGUGGAGAAAGGAAAGUGAGAUUAAGGAGUUCAAGAAAGUGUUUAGGAUUCCAGAUAUAGUCAAUCUUGACAAGAUCAAAGCUAGGUUUGAAGAAGAAGACGGGACUUUAACAGUUACAUUUCCCAAGAAAGUUAAGGGAAUAACCGGUUUGAAGAUUGAGGAAGUGGAAGAAGCAGAGAAAACAGAGGAAAAAAACAGAGCUAGAAGAAGAAAUCAAAGAGGAGAAAGAACCUGAGGAAGAAGCAGAAGAGCCAAAGAUGGAAGAGGAAGAAGAAGAGAUAGUGGAGGAACAAGAAACAAGGGAUCAUGAGGAAGAUAGAGAAGAAACCGAAGAGAAAGAUAGUAAACCAAAAAAGAAGAAAAGAAAAAAGUUAUGUUUUUCAUGUGUUGCAGGAUCUACUCUGCUUAUGUCAAUCAUUGUUUUCAUUAUUCAAUUGAUUCAAUCCAAAAGAAAAUGAGAUUAAUCCUUAGGGUUCUUUAGGAUAUGGCUCUUGUUUUUAAGGUGAAGAAGAGAGACGUCAGGGACAAGGAAGAUCAAUACUGCUUAUGUCACAGUGUUACAAGUUCUAACCAAAGCACAUGCAGUAUCAUCUUUUUCAUUUAUUCAAGAUUUAAAUCGAAAUGUAAACUCAAGAUACAUUACCAUGAGACAUUACAGCCUCUACUUAGAACACAAGAGAGGAAACAGCUUAACAACCUUUAAGCCUAUUUAGAGAACUCAAUGACCCGUAAAUGAUAUGCAGGGCAUACAAAUUUGCAACUUGCAAAACCUGAAUUAGCAGCCAUAGCUUCAUACUCAGCUUUUGUUCUCUCUUUUCCUCCAGAGAGUUGUGUGAGCAUCAACAAAUCCAUAUCAAAUGCAAUGUUGGCCUGCACAUCUUUACUCUCUGCCUCAUCUGGAAUAACUAGCUCCAUGAUUAUCACUUUCCCAUUCUCCGGUAAUGCCUUCCAGCAGUUCUUGAGAAUCUUUGCACAGUCCUCAUCAUUCCAAUCAUGAAGCAUACGCUGUAAAAUAUAUGAAGUUAGUAAAUAUAAAGAAUAAAACACCUGAAAAGUAUUAACAUAUUAGACAAGAGUAACAUAUGAAGUAAGAAUAAAGUAAAAAAAAACACCUGAGAAGUAUUAACAUAUUAGACAAGAGUAAUAUAUGAAGUAAGUAUAAAUAAUAAAACACCUUAAGAAGUAUUAGCACACUAAAAAAAAAAAAAAAAAAAAAAAGUAUUAGCACACUAUACAGGAGUAACAUAUGAAGUAAGUAUAAAGGAUAAAAAAACUUGAGAAGUAUUAACAUAUUAAUAUUAGAUAAGAGUAAGUGUUUGUGGCUGUGUCUUACUUUCAAGAUGAUAGCAUCUCCUCUUGGGAUUUCUACAAACAUAUCUCCAGCCACAUGCUCCACAUUAGGAUAAGAAGGUGCUUGUGCCAAAGCACAAGUUAGAUCAAAAUUAAUACCCUUAAUGUUCGGGUACUUUGAAGUAACAAAACCUAGUGUGUUUCCAACUCCUCCUCCUACAUCAACCAACACAUUGAUUCCUUCAAAACCUUUAUAAACUUCAAGAAACUUCUGCAUAACUCCAACGCUGAAUCCAGUCCGGUUAAAGAGUUUGCUUAGUCUUUCAUCUGUGCCCAUGUAGUCAAAGAGCUUCAACCCACCAUUGGCACGAGCAAAUGCAUCUCCUCCUUCUAGCACCACAUCUUUCAACUGUGCCCUGUAAAAGAGUAAACCAUUUUUGUAAAUUAUACUCCCUAUGUUUCAUAAUGUAAAUUAUUUUACAUGUAAAUUAACUUUAAAUUUUUAAUUUAAGAUAUAAACUAGAUAUAUUUUAAUAAAUAAAAAAACAGCAUAAUUUGGUUGGUCAUAUAUCCAAUAAAUAAAAAACUGCAUAAAAUGUGAAAAUAACUUAUAUUUAGAAAAAAAAUUCAACAACUUAGAUUAUGAAAUAAAAAGAGAAUACAGAAACUGUAAAUAAAUCAAGAAAGUAAUUAUUACCAUGUGUUGAGGAAGACACUAUCAAGUUCAAGAAUGAACUGAGAAGCAAGUGUCCCCAUUUCUUCGAUAUUGUAUCUCAAGAAAUACUUACAAAUGGGCUCAGCUUUGUACACCCUCUCACCGUCUACUAUCUGACACUUGACCAUUGAGUAACUGGCGAGUAAACGAAGCAUACGGUCCAGCAAAACCGGUGCUUCAGGGUUACUAGGCGGUGUGGGAAGCCGAGUAGCUAUCUCAGACGGUUUGAGGAACGAUCCAGAUCCAUUGACGUCAUCACGAGCAGCUAAGUAGAGAGCGUCGAUGACACCGAGCUCAAUGGCGGCUUUGAAAACCAUGGGGAAGGUAAUGUAAUUGGCUAGCCUCACUGCCCUCAAACCAAGCUCGGUCUCAUCAUCUCCAUUAAUCUCAUUCAUGGUUUUAGGGUCUAAAAGGUGUCCCAUUAUUGAUUUUGCUUUCUCCUCGGUGAAGCUAAUGUUCUAAGAUGAAAAGAAAGAGAAGAG